GAGGUCGCUCCAGGGUCAUCUAAGACUGUUCGGAGUAAUGAGAACGCGAGCGACUUCAUGGCGUCGCUUUAGGAAGGUCGCUCUGAGAAGUGGGACACAGCGACUUCGUGAUGUCGCUCCGGGAGGUCGCUCCCAUGCUCGGUUCGUCCAAUGGUCACCUUUUCACCUCUUUUGAGCUCCAAAUAACCUCAUGUGGUACUCCAGUACCUAAUAUAGACUCAUGUAUGCAAAAUGCAACCUAAACAUGUCUAAAUCCUAAUCUAUAUGAUGAAAAUGCUUAUGAAUGAAUGGAUAAAACAAUGCAAAUAUGCAAGCUAUCAACUCCCCCAAACUUGUUCUUUUACUUGUCCACAAGUGAACUUUCUAGAACUCAUAGGGAGAGAGGUUGAAGGUGGGAGCACAUAGCCAAAAGAAACACAACUAACACACUCUCUUAUUACACUCUAGCUUCUCUAGGCCUAUCUUAACUCUUUUUGUUCUUACACUCAUCAUCAAGCAUCCUCACAUUCAAAUCAACCAACUCUCACAUUCAUUAAGCACAAAACAUCAGGUGAAUUCUUGCAAAUGGUCAGUUGGUCCAAGUCAUUUGGUUGGGUAAGGGAAGGCUUUUAUUCAAGUGAUUCAAGAGGUUCAAAACAUAUGAUCUUUAAGGUAGUUUACUCUCGAAACAAGUAGCCUUGACAUUGCACAUAAUAUAUCUAAGAAAGGGAUCAACUCAUGCAUACAAUGCUCAAUCUCCAUUGUUCUACCCUUUUCCCAAACGUACAAUUACACAAUCAUUCUCAAAUGUCAAACCCAA
This 799-nucleotide long non-coding RNA is filed under the name Brassica rapa (field mustard). RNAcentral's name for it is "long non-coding RNA (BRAP_LNC007836)". Lineage: Eukaryota; Viridiplantae; Streptophyta; Magnoliopsida; Brassicales; Brassicaceae. The record is from RNAcentral.